Molecule: ribosomal RNA, 424 nt
Filed under: uncultured Glomeraceae
Lineage: Eukaryota; Fungi; Glomeromycota; Glomeromycetes; Glomerales; Glomeraceae
Description: SSU rRNA
Rfam family: Eukaryotic small subunit ribosomal RNA
Source: RNAcentral
GGGAGGUAGGUGACAAUAAAUAACAAUACGGGGUUCUUUAGGAUUUCGUAAUUGGAAUGAGUACAAUUUAAAUCUCUUAACGAGGAACAAUUGGAGGGCAAGUCUGGUGCCAGCAGCCGCGGUAAUUCCAGCUCCAAUAGCGUAUAUUAAAGUUGUUGCAGUUAAAAAGCUCGUAGUUGAAUUUCGGGGUCAGUAGAUUGGUCAUGCCACUGGUAUGUACUGGUCUCACUGAUUCCUCCUUCCUGAUGAGCCGUAAUGCCAUUAAUUUGGUGUUGCGAGGAAUCUGGACUAUUACUUUGAAAAAAUUAGAGUGUUUAAAGCAGGCUAACGCUUGAAUACAUUAGCAUGGAAUAAUGAAAUAGGACGUUCGAUCUUAUUUUGUUGGUUUCUAAGAUUGACGUAAUGAUUAAUAGGGAUAGUUGGG